Molecule: ribosomal RNA, 435 nt
Filed under: Ruegeria sp. C88
Lineage: Bacteria; Pseudomonadati; Pseudomonadota; Alphaproteobacteria; Rhodobacterales; Roseobacteraceae
Description: bacterial SSU rRNA
Rfam family: Bacterial small subunit ribosomal RNA
Source: RNAcentral
UCCUACGCGAAGGCAGCAGUGGGGAAUCUUGGACAAUGGGGGCAACCNUGAUCCAGCCAUGCCGCGUGAGUGAUGAAGGCCCUAGGGUCGUAAAGCUCUUUCGCCUGUGAAGAUAAUGACUGUAGCAGGUAAAGAAACCCCGGCUAACUCCGUGCCAGCAGCCGCGGUAAUACGGAGGGGGUUAGCGUUGUUCGGAAUUACUGGGCGUAAAGCGCGCGUAGGCGGACUGGAAAGUUGGGGGUGAAAUCCCAGGGCUCAACCCUGGAACUGCCUCCAAAACUAUCAGUCUAGAGUUCGAGAGAGGUGAGUGGAAUUCCGAGUGUAGAGGUGAAAUUCGUAGAUAUUCGGAGGAACACCAGUGGCGAAGGCGGCUCACUGGCUCGAUACUGACGCUGAGGUGCNAAAGUGUGGGGAGCAAACAGGAUUAUAUACCCU